Molecule: ribosomal RNA, 390 nt
Filed under: uncultured Achromobacter sp.
Lineage: Bacteria; Pseudomonadati; Pseudomonadota; Betaproteobacteria; Burkholderiales; Alcaligenaceae
Description: bacterial SSU rRNA
Rfam family: Bacterial small subunit ribosomal RNA
Source: RNAcentral
CUGGAAUCCCGAAGAGAUUUGGGAGUGCUCGCAAGAGAACCGGAACACAGGUGCUGCAUGGCUGUCGUCAGCUCGUGUCGUGAGAUUGUUUGGGUUAAGUCCCGCAACGAGCGCAACCCUUGUCAUUAGUUGCUACGAAAGGGCACUCUAAUGAGACUGCCGGUGACAAACCGGAGGAAGGUGGGGAUGACGUCAAGUCCUCAUGGCCCUUAUGGGUAGGGCUUCACACGUCAUACAAUGGUCGGGACAGAGGGUCGCCAACCCGCGAGGGGGAGCCAAUCCCAGAAACCCGAUCGUAGUCCGGAUUGCAGUCUGCAACUCGACUGCAUGAAGUCGGAAUCGCUAGUAAUCGCGGAUCAGAAUGUCGCGGUGAAUACGUUCCCGGGUCUU